Molecule: non-coding RNA, 1984 nt
Organism: Salmo salar (Atlantic salmon)
Lineage: Eukaryota; Metazoa; Chordata; Actinopteri; Salmoniformes; Salmonidae
Source: RefSeq, a predicted model, not a curated record
CUUUAUUUCUAACAUUAUUCUCUCCAUCACCACAGUCGAUUGAAACCCUCUACCGACCAGACGGGUCGUUCUCUGGGUCAGAACCUGGAUGAGUCCCCUUACCUGGAGCCUUUCCUCCACGAAUUCCAUGACGAGGAGCAACAGCACCCUCUGCAGGACAACCCACUACCCCACAUACUGCUGCCGCCUCGUCGCUCCCACAGCCUGGAGCUGAUGGACACGCUGGACCGUAAGCUGAAGCAGAAACGACGAACCAAACAGAGGAAACAUCAGAGAAACGGACAGUUUAAUGACCUCUGGGUCCGCAUCGAAGAGAGCACCACAGUCCAGUUUCCUCCUCCUCCUCCUCCUCCUCUGGUGCGUAUCACCAACGGUUACGUCACCGUAGGACCUCACCACCAUGACAUUGAAAGAGGCCUCGCCCAUGGCCACGACAGAACCAAUCACCACAGGUGGUCGUCAGGCUGCUCCGCCUCCACGCCGCUGUCUGUCAUCUGGUUGCAGUUAACAGUGUUGGUUCACACCUGGACUCUGGUAGUAACACUAGUCUGAAGCAUGAGGUUGUUGGUUAAACUUUUGCACACAAACUGGAAAACAAUCCUUAUCAAUCUAUUUCAAAAACACUGUAAUUCUGUAUACUGUUAACGGUGUUGGGUGACAUCUGGACUGCAGAUCUAAUGCAGAAGGUUAUUGGUUCAAAACCCUCCUGCUCUCAUCUGGACUCUAGUAGUAGAUCUAGUACAGGAGGUUCCUGGUUCAAAACCCUCCUGCUCUCAUCUGGACUCCGUUAGCAGAUCUAGUACUAUAAUCAAUGUUAGUUCACAUCUGGACUCUGCAUAACUAGUGCAGGAGGUUCCUGGUUCAAACCCCUCCUGCUCUCAUCUGGACUCUAGUAGUAGAUCUAGUACAGGAGGUUCUUGGUUCAAACCCCUCCUGCUCUCAUCUGGACUCUAGUAGUAGAUCUAGUACAGGAGGUUCCUGGUUCAAACCCCUCCUGCUCUCAUCUGGACUCUAGUAGUAGAUCUAGUACAGGAGGUUCUUGGUUCAAACCCCUCCUGCUCUCAUCUGGACUCUGCAUAACUAGUACAGGAGGUUCCUGGUUCAAAACCCUUUCAGCUCUUAAACUGGAAGGAAAGGAAUCAUCUUUUUCAACACACAAUGAGGUGAAUCCUAACUUCAAGUGAAAAUCGGACAUACUGUAAGUAGAAGUUCGCAUUCGCUCAAAUCAGUCUAGACUGAAUCUUAUUACCUUUAAUUUAGUACUUUAUUUUGACCCCCCCAAAAAAUACAAAUAUAUUAUUAAGAACCCAAACAGCUCUUUACUCUUACUUUACUUCCAACCCUCUUCAUUUAUUCUUCUCUUUUUGAAGAAUGUGUUUUGUAUCGCGUAAUACUGUGGGAAUUGUAUAUAUCUACAUAUUCUAGAUUGUAUUUUAGAAAUAUGACAUUGAAAAUGGUUGAAUGUGUUUUUGUUUGUUGUUGUUUAUAAAUAGAUACAGUGUAUUUUUUUGAGACUAAAGCUGGUACUAACCACCAUACCCUGUAUUUGGUAGCCUGGUCCCAUAGCCUGGUCACCUGAUCUGCUUGUGCUGUCUUGCUAACUCCUAUGGUCAUUGUCACCUUAGGAGUUGGCAAGGACAACACAACCAGAUGUGGAUCCAGGCUAUGUCCGUGGUUGAAUGGUGAUAUGGGUGAGGGGGAGAACCCAUACGAAACCGGUUACCGAUGGUUUGUUGUUUUGUCUUUGCUGAGAGAAUUACGUUUUAUGUUUUUACAUAGAGAUUAUUUGUUUAAUUUAUUUAACUAUAUAGUUGGUAAGUAAUCUUAACAUGCGUUAUGACAGUUGUUGUUCAUCCCAAUGUGAUGUGUUCGUUCUCUCUCCAGCCUAAGAGUCAAGUCAACACCAAUUUGUUGGAUGUUCAUGAGAUGACUUUAUCUUGUUGUAGGUCACUGACAUUUCAAUUGUGUGGCGUGAGAUUAUUGU